GGAAGUGUUUGAGGAGAUCGCC
RNAcentral lists this unclassified non-coding RNA (22 nucleotides) under Mus musculus (house mouse). Its description in RNAcentral is "oocyte_clustered_small_RNA9872". Lineage: Eukaryota; Metazoa; Chordata; Mammalia; Rodentia; Muridae. The record is from RNAcentral.